AACGUAGACCUCAAGCGUUAUCCGGAUUUAUUGGGCGUAAAGCGCAUGUAGGCGGAUCGGUGCGUCUUCUCUUAAAGCCCAGGGCCUAACCCUGGAAGUGGAGGAGAUACGGCCGGCCUAGAGGAGGUUAGAGGUGCAUGGAACGCACGGUGUAGGGGUGAAAUCCGUUGAUAUCGUGCGGAACACCAAAGGCGAAGGCAGUGCACUGGGACCUUCCUGACGCUGAUAUGCGAAAGCGUGGGGAG
This 245-nucleotide ribosomal RNA is filed under the name uncultured bacterium. Its description in RNAcentral is "partial 16S ribosomal RNA". It matches the Rfam family "Bacterial small subunit ribosomal RNA", at positions 524 to 768 of the family's 1533-position model. The record is from RNAcentral.